GAAAACUAGCGUACACACGCGUAGAAGCGAUUUAGCGUUUAGUUAACGUUAGCGAUAUCGUAAUAUUUUCGGCGCGAAAUAUCAAAGAUCUGUCUAUUGUGAAGAUUAGAUUUAAAAAAUGCAGAAAAAGCUGAUUAAAAGCGCGGAGUUAUGACGAGAUUUGUAAACGUUUCAAGUAAUUAUUUUUUAAAAGGCUUAUUUAAUCAUACAUAAUAAUGUUGAUAACGUAAAAAAAGUGCCGGUCAUUCAUAUUAAAUAUAUAAUAUCGAUAACUGUGUUAAAGAUGUGUGUGCAACGUAUUGGCUGUCUUGUAUCAGUUAAUUAAUUUACAUUUCUUUACGUGUUAGUGAAAUAAAACAUUCAUGAUGGAUAUACAUGAAAUACAUCAGAUGCCAAAUAAGAGUAACGAAGACCUAACUCCAGAGGAAAAAUGGAAAGUGGAGCAUAUAAAGAUGCACGAACAGCAUAUGGGUCACGAAUCCAUGCAUGCAGAGAUGCUACUUAUAUUAUUAGUGACAUUAACAAUAGCACAGAUUGCAUUAGUUGAAUGGAAGAAGAGGCAUUUUAAAUCAUAUCAGCUUGUAACACUAGUAGCCAUGUGGAUUAUUCCAUUUGGAAUAAGCUUAAAGAAUCACUGGUGGAGAUUUAUAUUUUUGUGGCUUUUAUCUUCGUGUAUAACAGGUCUAGUGGUAAGAAAAGCUAUUCAAAGACCAAUAUUAGGUACAACACCUAGACUAGUGUACAAAUGGUUUUAUUUCAUUUAUAAGCUCAGUUAUGCACUGGGCAUAAUCGGCUAUGUUUUAAUGUUACUUACAUUUGUUGGUCUAAAUAUUAUAUUAGACAUUAAGCCUCAUGUUUGGAUGGACUGGGGUAUACUACUUCUAUUUUAUGGUCUUUAUUUUGGAGUAUUAGGAAGAGAUGUCGCUGAAAUAUGUGCUGACACAAUGGCAUCACAUAUUGGAUAUUACACUCCAGGCAGUAUGCCAACUAGAACUCUAGAACCAAAUGUUUGUGCAGUAUGUGGAAACAAACUUCUUGUUUCGGAACAUGAAGAAGGUGUGAUUGAAAAUACAUACAAACUUACUUGCGAACAUGUUUUCCAUGAAUUUUGCAUUAGGGGCUGGUGUAUUGUAGGAAAAAAACAGACUUGCCCUUAUUGUAAGGAAAAAGUGGAUUUAAAAAAAAUGUUUCGCAAUCCAUGGCAACGGCCACAUGUUUUAUUCGGCCAGUUACUGGAUUGGUUAAGAUGGUUAGUUGCUUGGCAACCUUUAAUUUUGUUCCUAGUUCAAGGUAUAAAUUGGGCUCUGGGCCUUGAAGAAACGAAGGAGGAUCAGCAUAAGGUGAUUGGCGAAACAGAAUAGCUACUGCCGUAUUGUCGUGUAGUUUUUCUGCUAGAGCACCGACAAAUAAGUUCCUAUUGUCGCAUUCGCAGUCAGAGAAAAACAACUUUCAUCACAUCACGUAUCCAUAGGUACUUGUCAGACCACGUCGGACCCGUCGCGAGAAUAUCGUAUAUAUAUAUGUAUUUAUACUUAUAUACAUAUAUUUAUCUGUAUACCUAUAGUCUAAAGUCUUUCACGAACAUUCGUGAGGUGUGAAAUUACGUCAAGGCGCGCAAAGGUAGAGGAGGAGGAGGGAAAAUAGUGCGCGAAAUGAGAUAACAGAGGGUGAGAGAG
RNAcentral lists this unclassified non-coding RNA (1676 nucleotides) under Camponotus floridanus (Florida carpenter ant). Its description in RNAcentral is "rING finger protein 121, transcript variant X3". Lineage: Eukaryota; Metazoa; Arthropoda; Insecta; Hymenoptera; Formicidae. The record is from RNAcentral.